This 441-nucleotide ribosomal RNA is filed under the name uncultured bacterium. RNAcentral describes it as "partial 16S ribosomal RNA". It matches the Rfam family "Bacterial small subunit ribosomal RNA", at positions 339 to 795 of the family's 1533-position model. The record is from RNAcentral.
CUACGGGACGCAGCAGUGGGGAAUCUUGCGCAAUGGGCGAAAGCCUGACGCAGCAACGCCGCGUGCGGGAAGAAUGCCCUUUGGGCUGUAAACCGCUUUCAGCAGGAACGAAAAUGACGGUACCUGCAGAAGAAGAAGCGGCCAACUAUGUGCCAGCAGCCGCGGGUGAUACAUAGGCUUCGAGCGUUGUCCGGAUUUAUUGGGCGUAAAGAGUUCGUAGGCGGUUAAGUAAGUCGGGUGUGAAAAUUCUGGGCUCAACCCAGAAACGCCACCCGAUACUGCUUGACUUGAGUUCGACAGGGGAGUGGGGAAUUCCUAGUGUAGCGGUGAAAUGCGCAGAUAUUAGGAGGAACACCGGUGGCGAAGGCGCCACUCUGGGUCGACACUGACGCUGAGGAACGAAAGCAUGGGUAGCAAACAGGAUUAGAUACCCGCGUAGUC